This 497-nucleotide ribosomal RNA is filed under the name uncultured bacterium. RNAcentral describes it as "partial 16S ribosomal RNA". It matches the Rfam family "Bacterial small subunit ribosomal RNA", at positions 28 to 507 of the family's 1533-position model. The record is from RNAcentral.
GAUGAACGCUGGCGGCGUGCCUAAUACAUGCAAGUCGAGCGAACAGACGAGGAGCUUGCUCCUCUGACGUUAGCGGCGGACGGGUGAGUAACACGUGGAUAACCUACCUAUAAGACUGGGAUAACUUCGGGAAACCGGAGCUAAUACCGGAUAACAUGUUGAACCGCAUGGUUCAACAGUGAAAGACGGUCUUGCUGUCACUUAUAGAUGGAUCCGCUCCGCAUUAGCUAGUUGGUAAGGUAACGGCUUACCAAGGCAACGAUGCGUAGCCGACCUGAGAGGGUGAUCGGCCACACUGGAACUGAGACACGGUCCAGACUCCUACGGGAGGCAGCAGUAGGGAAUCUUCCGCAAUGGGCGAAAGCCUGACGGAGCAACGCCGCGUGAGUGAAGAGGGUCUUCGGAUCGUAAAACUCUGUUAUUAGGGAAGAACAAAUGUGUAAGUAACUAUGCACGUCUUGACGGUACCUAAUCAGAAAGCCACGGCUAACUACGUG